CAGAUUAUUCUUAAAGUUAAGGAUUUCAUUUACAUUGAAAAUAAGGUUGUGCAAUUCAACAUAAUCUGA
Molecule: transfer RNA, 69 nt
Filed under: Rhabdoblattella disparis
Lineage: Eukaryota; Metazoa; Arthropoda; Insecta; Blattodea; Blaberidae
Description: tRNA-Val
Source: RNAcentral